GACGAACGCUGGCGGCGUGCUUAACACAUGCAAGUCGAACGGAAAGGCCCUGCUUUUGUGGGGUGCUCGAGUGGCGAACGGGUGAGUAACACGUGAGUAACCUGCCCUUGACUUUGGGAUAACUUCAGGAAACUGGGGCUAAUCCCGGAUAGGAUCUCCUGCUGCAUGGUGGGGGUUGGAACUUUUCGGCGGUUGGGGAUGGACUCGCGGCUUAUGAGCUUGUUGGUGGGGUAGGGGUUUACCCAGGGUUUGAAGGGUCCCCGGCCUGGGAGGGUGACCGGGCACAUUGGGCCUGAGAGACGGCGCAGAGUGCAACAGUGGGCAGCGGGGGGGAGUAUGGUCCAACGGGAGCAAGCCUGAGGCAGCAACGCCGCGUGCGGGAAGACGGUUUGCGGGUAGAAAACCGCUUUAGGCUGUGACGAAGCGGGUGUGACGGUAAUGGAUAAAGAAGCACCGGCUAACUACGUG
This 468-nucleotide ribosomal RNA is filed under the name uncultured bacterium. RNAcentral's name for it is "partial 16S ribosomal RNA". It matches the Rfam family "Bacterial small subunit ribosomal RNA", at positions 28 to 507 of the family's 1533-position model. The record is from RNAcentral.